CACAUCCAACUCUGCUCCAUCCCUUGUCACACUGCCGAUGGCUUCUCUCUGAGCCUGGCAACAAUCUCUCUACCUGUUUAGUUCCCAAAGCAGCUUACCACCAUGCAAGACAUAUACAUCCCAAUUCCGUAGUGGCCCAGUGUCUCCAGCCACUACUCACUCUUGAAUUUAAUUAAAUCACCACAUGAAAGAACACACAACACGAUAACCUCUGAUCCAAUUGAUAAGAUAUAACUGCCCACCUAGACAUACAAAGUCCUGUUCACAUCCAUCCCUUAAGAAUAUACAUAACCUGUAACUAUGUGCAGAGAGGAAUCUUAACAUCUGCCACCACGUUCUCUCAACUUCUCUUCUUCUCACCCUUGCUCCCUUCUCUGCCCCUCUCUGAAACUUUUCUCCUGCCCAUCCUUCCUUCUCAUCCAAUGACAGGCCUUUUUCUGUCCUAUACCUGCCUUCACCUGUAUAGGUAAUGACAUGAUCCUACAACCCGUCUUUGAACUAAGGAGGAUGAUGUUCUUGAAUUUAUUCAUCGGAUAUGUUAAGGAAAUACUUUAUCUAAAGGAAAGCUCUGUUUUAACUGAAGUGGACAUGUAAGUGUUUCACGAGAGACACUGAAGAGCAGGAAGAAAUCGGAUUACAGUCUAAAUAAAGUGAAUGCACCCAUCUUAACAAACACAACCUUGAAUGUCAUAAGGCUUGUUG
Molecule: long non-coding RNA, 702 nt
Filed under: Rattus norvegicus (Norway rat)
Lineage: Eukaryota; Metazoa; Chordata; Mammalia; Rodentia; Muridae
Description: long non-coding RNA NONRATT020212
Source: RNAcentral